RNAcentral lists this ribosomal RNA (494 nucleotides) under uncultured bacterium. RNAcentral describes it as "partial 16S ribosomal RNA". It matches the Rfam family "Bacterial small subunit ribosomal RNA", at positions 28 to 507 of the family's 1533-position model. The record is from RNAcentral.
GACGAACGCUGGCGGCGUGCUUAACGCAUGCAAGUCGAACGGAAAGGCCUGCUUUCCCUUGUGGAUUGCGGGUGCUCGAGUGGCGAACGGGUGAGUAACACGUGAGUGAUCUGCCCCCAACUUGGGUAUAAGCCUGGGAAACUGGGUCUAAUUCCCGAUAGGACUGCAGGGUGGUGCCUGUGGUGGAAAACGAUUUUCUAGUGGUUGGGGAUGAGCUCGCGGCCUAUCAGCUUGUUGGUGGGGUAAUGGCCUACCAAGGCGGCGACGGGUAGCCGGCCUGAGAGGGUGGACGGCCACAUUGGGACUGAGAUACGGCCCAGACUCCUACGGGAGGCAGCAGUGGGGAAUAUUGCACAAUGGGCGGAAGCCUGAUGCAGCGACGCCGCGUGGGGGAUGACGGCCUUCGGGUUGUAAACUCCUUUCGACCGCGAGGAAGCCACCUGGUUGGAAGGGUGGUGACGGUAGUGGUAGAAGAAGCACCGGCUAACUACGUG